AGCAGCCGCGGUAAUUCCAGCUCCAAUAGCGUAUAUUAAAGUUGUUGCAGUUAAAAAGCUCGUAGUUGAAUUUCGGGAUCAGUAUGUUGGUCGUGCUUCGGUACGUACUGUCAUUACUGGUUUCUACCUUCUGAAGAACCUUGAUGUCAUUAAUUUGGUGUCUUGGGGAAUCAGGACUGUUACUUUGAAAAAAUUAGAGUGUUUAAAGCAAGCAUACGCUUGAAUACAUUAGCAUGGAAUAAUGAAAUAGGACGUUUGAUUCUAUUUUGUUGGUUUCUAGGAUCGACGUAAUGAUUAAUAGGGAUAGUUGGGGGCAUUAGUAUUCAAUUGUCAGAGGUGAAAUUCUUGGAUUUAUUGAAGACUAACUACUGCGAAAGCAUUUGCCAAGGAUGUUUUCAUUAAUCAAGAACGAAAGUUAGGGGAUCGAAGACGAUCAGAUACCGUCGUAGUCUUAACCAUAAACUAUGCCGACUAGGGAUCGGAUGAUGUAUUUUUAAUGACUCAUUCGGCGCCUUAAC
This 518-nucleotide ribosomal RNA is filed under the name uncultured Glomus. RNAcentral's name for it is "SSU rRNA". It matches the Rfam family "Eukaryotic small subunit ribosomal RNA", at positions 569 to 1092 of the family's 1831-position model. The record is from RNAcentral. Lineage: Eukaryota; Fungi; Glomeromycota; Glomeromycetes; Glomerales; Glomeraceae.